Dioscorea cayenensis subsp. rotundata (Guinea yam) is the source of this 92-nucleotide small nucleolar RNA. RefSeq annotates it as small nucleolar RNA R44/J54/Z268 family. The transcript has a single exon. The record is from RefSeq and is a predicted model, not a curated record. NCBI's taxonomy places the organism in Eukaryota, Viridiplantae, Streptophyta, Magnoliopsida, Dioscoreales, Dioscoreaceae.
UUUGCAAGUGAUGAGAAACAAGACAGGGACAUCAGCAUUCCUCAUAACUUGAGGAUGAUGACUUUAGUCUUUGGGAAUCUCUCUGAUGCAAU